CGCAGCUGUAGUCGCCGGCGU
This 21-nucleotide microRNA is filed under the name Hordeum vulgare. Its description in RNAcentral is "hvu-miR5053". Lineage: Eukaryota; Viridiplantae; Streptophyta; Magnoliopsida; Poales; Poaceae. The record is from miRBase by way of RNAcentral.